This 3119-nucleotide long non-coding RNA is filed under the name Mytilus galloprovincialis (Mediterranean mussel). The record is from RNAcentral. Lineage: Eukaryota; Metazoa; Mollusca; Bivalvia; Mytilida; Mytilidae.
GUGUCUCUUUUCAUUUUUUUUUAUUUUUUAUUUAUUUUUUCAAUAGUCAGGAUUUAACAUCACCCUUACAGCACCACCUGACUAGGGUGUUACAGGGUUUCAAAUAUAUAACAACAAAAGACUAUUGUUUUAUCAAGAUUUACACAAACUAAAAAAUAAAUAUUUUGAAAAUCUUUUUUUUUCUCUCUCUCUCUUUCACACUCUCUCUCUCCUUCUUUCUCACUCUCUCUUUCUCUCUUUUUUCACAAUCUCUUCAUAUAGAAAUAUCUAUAGAUUAUUUUAAAAUAGAAGAAAAAAAAAAGAAGGUUUACAUGUGCUAUGCAUAUAUUACAUGUUGUUUGCUCUGUUCCAUAAAUAGGUCAAAAAGAUAUAUAUAUUGAUAUAAAUUUGGUUGUUAGAUUACCAUUCAGGAUAAAUAAUUAGCAUAGGGGCCCAAAGUUUUUCAAGUUCAAAAACUUUGUUGUAUUUUCUUGCUGUAUAUAACUCUAAGUUAUAAAAGUUUCUCAGUCUAUUUUUUAAUUCAAUUGCAUUUGGAAGCUUUUCUUCUAGCUUGCAUUUAUAUAUGUAUUUUUUGGCAAAAAUUACAAGAAAAUUUAAAAAUAAGCUUUCUUCUACAAAACCAAGAAAAAAGUUUUUUUUGUUAAAAUCAAUGUUAACAUAGAAAUUUUUCAGGCAAGCACAAAACAAAUAUAAAAAAUUUGAUGUCACUUGACAAUCAUAAAAUAAAUGUCCAAUAGUUUCAUCUUCACAUCUACAAAAAGAACAUAACUUUGUAUCUUUGAUUUUAAUCUUAUAUAAAAAUGUAUUUGUAGGAAUAGUCCUAUGUAAAAACUUAUAUUGGAAAUUAUACAAAUAUGUAUCUCUACAACCUUUCUGAAGUAUACAAAAGUAUUUCUUCCAGUCUUCAAUGUUAGAAUGCAGCUCAUCCUCCCAUUUUGAAAAUUUUACAACUGGAGGAUGUGCACAUUUUACAAUAAGAUUAUUAUAUAUGAAUUUGAUAUUUUUACUGCUAGUAAUUUUCUCCAAAAAAUUUUCCUGCGGAGUAAAAUUUUCUAAGUCAGUAUCAGUGUUUUCCCUAAUACACUGUUUUACCUCCAUAGGGAUAUUUGAUAUUAAACUGUAAUAGUGCAUAUAAUUAUUUGUCUGAACUUUUUGUUUAAUCUGAUCAAAUGUGAAAAAAUCUCUUCUUUGAUGGUCAAAAAUGUGACAGAGGUUUUGCACACCGGCAACUCCCCAUCUGUUAUAUAAUGGGAAAUCUUCUGUUUUCACAAAAUUCAAGAUAUCCAUCGAGAGACACUCCUUGACAUCAGUUUUAACAUGUGGUUUAGAUGAGUGUAAAGCUUGAAAAACAUCUUUCCAAAAAGGAUUGCUGAGUUGAUUUCCAAUCUCUAAAAAUUUGAAGUUUUGUAAAGAAAAAGAUCUUGCACCCCCAAAUUUUUUCAAUAUCAACUUAAGAAUAUUUUGCCAGUCCCCAUUCAAAUUUGAAAAAAAAUCGCCUCACCCAACCGACUUUAAGAUAAAAGUUGAAAGAUUGUAAAUGAACCAUUUUCAAACCUCCCUCCUUUUUAUCUGCAAUCAGUGUAUCACGUUUGAUUUUUUCUGUUUUUCCAUCCCAUAUAAAAUUAAAGAAUAAUCUGUUGAUUUCAUUCAACAUGGAUUGACAUAUAUUAGGUAAAGAUGUAAGCAAAUGAAUCAAUUUCGGAAGUGCAAGAGUCUUAAUAACAGUAACCUUGCCAAGUAGUGUUAGCUUCCUAUGCUGCCAACUUUUCAAUAAUUUUGAAAUAUCAAUGAUUUUUGCUCUGAAAUUCAAACUGGGCAUACACUCUAGAUCCAAAGAGAAAUUUAAUCCUAAAACCUUAAAGUUUGAACAGGACCAGCUUAGAUUUGUUUCAGGACAUAAAACCAAGUCAGAAUAUCUCUUACUUCCAAUCCAAACAACUUUUGUUUUAGUUGUAUUUAUCUUUAAUCCUGAGACUUUGUGAAAUUUUUCAAAACAAGAAAGGGUCUCUUUUAAUGAAUCUUCACUUCCAUCCAGUGUAAGAAACGUAUCAUCUGCAUACUGACUAAUGAGUGGCAGAUUCCCAUUUAUAUUCACCCCUUUUAUUUUUGGAUUCCCUUUUAGCUGUAUGGCAAGUAAUUCCACCCCAAUAAUAAACAAAUAGGGAGAUAACGGGUCCCCCUGGCGACAGCCUCUUUCAAGGUUGAAAAAUUGGGACAUAUUACCAUUAUUAAUGACACAGCUCUUUGCAUCUGCAUAAAGCACAUCAAACCAUUUACAAAAAGAAGGACCAAAAUUAAAACUAAUCAAAGCCUGCUUUAAAAAAUCCCAUUCUAUAGAAUCAAAGGCUUUUUCAAAAUCUACUAGUAAUAACAAUCCUUCUAUAUCAUUUUUUUCUAGAUAGUGCAUUAAAUCAUAUAGAAGUCUAGUGUUCUCUCCUAUGAAUCUCCCUUUCAUAAAGCCCUUUUGUGUGUCACUAAUAAUGGCGAACAGUACCUUUUUAGCUCUACCAGCAAGAACUGCAGAUGCAAUUUUCAUAUCUGUGUUCAUUAAGCUGAUCGGUCGCCAGUUACCCAUGUACCUCCUAUCUUUCCCUUCCUUAGGAAUACAAGUAAUAAUACUUUGGUAUUGAAAAUCUGAAAAAUGGCCCAACUCAUAUCCAAAUUGCAGAGAUCUAAAGACAAAUGGACCAAUAUCUUUCCAAAAAAAUUUGAAAAAAUCCACUGUAAAUCCAUCAGAUCCUGGAGACUUUCCAUUUUGCAUCUGUUUUAAAGCUUCCCCACAUUCCCUAAAAGAUAAGUUUCCCUCACAAAGAAGUUUUUGUUCUGCACUGAGUUUUAUGUCAUGUUUAAAAAAUUGAUUGUCAUCAUUACUGAAUGACUUAGAUGUAUAAAGUGUCCUAUAAAACUGCUCCUGUUCAAACAAUAUUUUAGAUUGAUCAGAAAUUUGAUUUCCUUGGUCAUCAAUGAGUUCAGUCAUGGUUUUAUUUAAGAAGGCUUUCUUUUCUAACUUACAAAAAUAGUUAGUGCAUCUUUCUCCAUUCUCAUGCCAAUUUACACGAGAACGGAGAAUAAGGCCCUCAACUAAUGUCUGUCGUCGCUUCUCUAAUUCACACUUUUUC